AAUUAAAGACUAGUUUUUAAUUCGGUCCUUUUCAAGACAGGCACAGAGAAGUUGCAGGAGUGACGUGGGCUUCUGGGCUUCGUUGAGAGGAAGAUCUCCUGAGGGCUGACUCAUCUUCUGCAAGACUAGAGUGUAAAGACUGAAAUCUCAAGGCUGCUGAAGUACAGCUGCAUCUUAGUAUCUUCCAAUCCUCCAAAGAACAGCAUCUUUUAAAGGUUAUGGAAUCCAGUGCAAAACAUGAAGCCUCUCUUCAAAAAAUAGCAUAGAUAAUGGUGCUGGAGUACUUGGUAUUUGGGCUGGAUAUGUAUUCAGGAAGUAUAUCCAACCCCAGGUACAGAGCGAGAUCUGAGUUCUAGCUGGGAAUUCCCAAAUCCACCCACUUCCCUGCUAGCUGCUGGCUGAAGAUUAGACUGCAAAUUAGCACAAGACUUUUGGCUCCUUUCCAAAAUGUGACCUGGUGGCCAAAACUGGAAGCUGAAGCCUCUAUGUCCUCUUCUCUGUGCUACCUUAGGCAUGACUCUCUUGCCUCCAAGGUUUUCAGAAAGAAAAGGCUUUUUUUUCCAAGGAAGAGCAAUAUUUCUGUGGUCCUUGAAAGCUGUGAGACACCUAAUGAUGACUCUAACAGGAAAUAUAUCCUGAUGUUUGUUUAGAGUCAUCCUGACAGCAGGCAUCUAUGCUGAUACCCAGCACAAGCAAAUAAGGGAGGCUCUUUUUUGAGGGAUUACUUUGUUUUUAAGUGCAGCAGUCAAAUGAGUGCUUGAAAGUAUCGUGCUGCUGCCCCAAAAGAGCAGUCCCUAGCAAUAAAUAAAGGCUUUGGGCACAGGAUG
Nothoprocta perdicaria is the source of this 827-nucleotide long non-coding RNA. RefSeq lists it as uncharacterized. The record is from RefSeq and is a predicted model, not a curated record. The transcript has 2 exons. Lineage: Eukaryota; Metazoa; Chordata; Aves; Tinamiformes; Tinamidae.